GACGAACGCUGGCGGCGUGCUUAACACAUGCAAGUCGAACGGAAAGGCCCUGCUCUUGUGGGGUGCUCGAUUGGCGAACGGGUGAGUAACACGCGAGUAACCUCCCCUUGUAUUUGGGAUAACUUCAGGAAACUGGGGCUCAUACCGGAUAGGAGCUCCUGCUGCAUGGUGGGGGUUGGAAAGUUUCGGCGGUUGGGGAUGGACUCGCGGCUUAUCAGCUUGUUGGUCGGGUAGUGGCUUACCAAGGGUUUGAGGGGUAGCCGGCCUGAGCGGGUGGACGGCGACAAGAGGACUGAGAGACGGCGCAGACUCCAACGGUAGGCAGCAGUGGAGAAUAUGACGGAGUGAGCGGAAGUCUGAUACAGCGGCGCUCGGUGCGUAAUAACGGGCUUCUGGUGAAGAACCGAUGUCGACGGAAACGAAGAGGGAGUGACGGUAAUUAAUAAAGAAGCAACGGCUAACUACGUG
This 468-nucleotide ribosomal RNA is filed under the name uncultured bacterium. RNAcentral describes it as "partial 16S ribosomal RNA". It matches the Rfam family "Bacterial small subunit ribosomal RNA", at positions 28 to 507 of the family's 1533-position model. The record is from RNAcentral.